RNAcentral lists this ribosomal RNA (405 nucleotides) under uncultured prokaryote. RNAcentral describes it as "bacterial SSU rRNA". It matches the Rfam family "Bacterial small subunit ribosomal RNA", at positions 355 to 774 of the family's 1533-position model. The record is from RNAcentral.
UGGGGAAUAUUGGGCAAUGGGCGGAAGCCUGACCCAGCGACGCCGCGUGGGGGAAGAAGUCUUUCGGGAUGUAAACCCUUGUUGUACGGGACGAAGGAAGUGACGGUACCGUACGAGGAAGCCCCGGCAAACUACGUGCCAGCAGCCGCGGUAAUACGUAGGGGGCGAGCGUUGUCCGGAAUCACUGGGCGUAAAGCGCACGUAGGCGGGCUGUCAAGUCGGCCGUGAAAGGCAUGGGCUCAACCUGUGCAUGUCGGUCGAUACUGGCGGUCUGGAGUAUGGGAGAGGGAACUGGAAUUCCCGGUGUAGCGGUGAAAUGCGUAGAUAUUAGGAGGAACACCAGUGGCGAAGGCGGCCUGCUGGACGACAACUGACGCUGAGGCGCGAAAGCGUGGGGAGCAAACA